Molecule: ribosomal RNA, 292 nt
Filed under: uncultured bacterium
Lineage: Bacteria
Description: partial 16S ribosomal RNA
Rfam family: Bacterial small subunit ribosomal RNA
Source: RNAcentral
GUGUCAGCCGCCGCGGUAAGACGAACCGUGCGAACGUUAUUCGGAAUCACUGGGCUUAAAGGGCGCGUAGGCGGGCUCCCAAGUCAGGGGUGAAAUCCCACGGCUCAACCGUGGAAGUGCCUCUGAUACUGGGGGCCUCGAGGGGUGCAGGGGCGUGCGGAACUCAGGGUGGAGCGGUGAAAUGCGUAGAUAUCCUGAGGAACACCGGUGGCGAAAGCGGCGCGCUGGACACCUUCUGACGCUGAGGCGCGAAAGCCAGGGGAGCAAACGGGAUUAGAAACCCCCGUAGUCC